GUAGCUCAAGCUCAAUGGUAGAGCACAUGCUUAGCAUACAUGAGGCCUUGGGUUCCAUCCCCAGUACCACA
RNAcentral lists this transfer RNA (71 nucleotides) under Dipodomys ordii (Ord's kangaroo rat). It matches the Rfam family "tRNA". From Rfam's summary of the family: Transfer RNA (tRNA) molecules are approximately 80 nucleotides in length. Lineage: Eukaryota; Metazoa; Chordata; Mammalia; Rodentia; Heteromyidae. The record is from Rfam by way of RNAcentral.